This is a non-coding RNA of Sturnus vulgaris (Common starling), 189 nucleotides long. The record is from RefSeq and is a predicted model, not a curated record. Lineage: Eukaryota; Metazoa; Chordata; Aves; Passeriformes; Sturnidae.
UUAGGAGCUGCUCUGUCUCUGCUCUGUUUGUCCCUCCUGGUCUCUGUCCAGGUGAUUUAGGAGCCGCUCUGUCUGUCUGUCUCUCCGCCUCUCCUGGUCUCUGUCCAGGUGAUUUAGGAGCUUCUCUGUCUGUCUGUCCCUUCCUCCUGUUCCAUGUCCAGGUGAUUUAGGAGCCGCUCUGUCUGUCUG